Molecule: unclassified non-coding RNA, 376 nt
Filed under: uncultured bacterium
Lineage: Bacteria
Description: contains 16S-23S intergenic spacer region
Source: RNAcentral
UCCGACUUAAAGGUCGGCAGUCUUGUUAGAGUGCCCAACUGAGUGCUGGCAACACGCCACAGGGGUUGCGCUCGUUACGGGACUUAACCCAACAUCUCACGACACGAGCUGACGACAGCCGUGCAGCAUCUGUGUGGCACCCUCGAAGGUCACACGUUUCCGUGCGCUUGCAGCCACAUGUCAAGCCCAGGUAAGGUUCUUCGCGUUGCAUCGAAUUAAAGAACAUGCCCCGCUGCUUGUGCGGGCCCCCGUCAAUUCCUUUGAGUUUCAGCCUUGCGGCCGUACUCCCCAGGCGGGGCACUUAAUGCGUUAGCGCCGGCACCCAGGGGGUCGCUCCCCCAGGCACCUAGUGCCCAUCGUUUACGGCGUGGACUAC